Molecule: unclassified non-coding RNA, 335 nt
Filed under: uncultured Actinomycetes bacterium
Lineage: Bacteria; Bacillati; Actinomycetota; Actinomycetes
Description: uncultured actinobacterium contains 16S-23S intergenic spacer region
Source: RNAcentral
UCCGAGUUGACCCCGGCAGUCUCCCAUGAGUCCCCGCCAUUACGCGCUGGCAACAUGGAACGAGGGUUGCGCUCGUUGCGGGACUUAACCCAGCAUCUCACGACACGAGCUGACGACAACCAUGCAGCACCUUAUUACCGGCCCCUUGCGGGGAAAUCUGCUUUCACAGACGGUCCAGUAACAUUCUAGCCCAGGUAAGGUUCCUCGCGUAUCAUCGAAUUAAACCACAUGCUCCGCUGCUUGUGCGGGCCCCCGUCAAUUCCUUUGAGUUUUAGCCUUGCGGCCGUACUCCCCAGGCGGGGCGCUUAAUGCGUUAGCUGCGGCACGGAACCCGU